RNAcentral lists this transfer RNA (73 nucleotides) under Apaloderma vittatum (bar-tailed trogon). It matches the Rfam family "tRNA". Rfam says of the family: Transfer RNA (tRNA) molecules are approximately 80 nucleotides in length. Their secondary structure includes four short double-helical elements and three loops (D, anti-codon, and T loops). Further hydrogen bonds mediate the characteristic L-shaped molecular structure. tRNAs have two regions of fundamental functional importance: the anti-codon, which is responsible for specific mRNA codon recognition, and the 3' end, to which the tRNAs corresponding amino acid is attached (by aminoacyl-tRNA synthetases). tRNAs cope with the degeneracy of the genetic code in two manners: having more than one tRNA (with a specific anti-codon) for a particular amino acid; and 'wobble' base-pairing, i.e. permitting non-standard base-pairing at the 3rd anti-codon position. The record is from Rfam by way of RNAcentral. Lineage: Eukaryota; Metazoa; Chordata; Aves; Trogoniformes; Trogonidae.
GGCCGGUUAGCUCAGUCAGUUGAGCAUGGCGCUGACAAUGCCAAGGCCACGGGUUAGAUUCUUGUUUAGUCCC